UACGAAGGGGGCUAGCGUUGCUCGGAAUCACUGGGCGUAAAGGGUGCGUAGGCGGGUCUUUAAGUCAGGGGUGAAAUCCUGGAGCUCAACUCCAGAACUGCCUUUGAUACUGAGGAUCUUGAGUUCGGGAGAGGUGAGUGGAACUGCGAGUGUAGAGGUGAAAUUCGUAGAUAUUCGCAAGAACACCAGUGGCGAAGGCGGCUCACUGGCCCGAUACUGACGCUGAGGCAUGAAAGCGUGGGGAGCAAACAGG
RNAcentral lists this ribosomal RNA (253 nucleotides) under uncultured bacterium. Its description in RNAcentral is "partial 16S ribosomal RNA". It matches the Rfam family "Bacterial small subunit ribosomal RNA", at positions 524 to 776 of the family's 1533-position model. The record is from RNAcentral.